This 465-nucleotide ribosomal RNA is filed under the name uncultured bacterium. RNAcentral's name for it is "partial 16S ribosomal RNA". It matches the Rfam family "Bacterial small subunit ribosomal RNA", at positions 338 to 795 of the family's 1533-position model. The record is from RNAcentral.
CCUACGGGAGGCAGCAGUAGGGAAUCUUCCACAAUGGGCGAAAGCCUGAUGGAGCAACGCCGCGUGGGUGAAGAAGGUCUUCGGAUCGUAAAACCCUGUAGUUAGAGAAGACAGUACGUGAGAGUAACUGUUCACGUUUCGACGGUAUCUAACCAGAAAGCCACGGCUAACUACGUGCCAGCAGCCGCGGUAAUACGUAGGUGGCAAGCGUUAUCCGGAUUUAUUUGGCGUAAAGGGAACGCAGGCGGUCUUUUAAGUCUGAUGUGAAAGCCUUCGGCUUAACCGGAGUAGUGCAUUGGAAACUGGGAGACUUGAGUGCAGAAGAGGAGAGUGGAACUCCAUGUGUAGCGGUGAAAUGCGUAGAUAUAUGGAAGAACACCAGUGGCGAAAGCGGCUCUCUGGUCUGUAACUGACGCUGAGGUUCGAAAGCGUGGGUAGCAAACAGGAUUAGAUACCCUAGUAGUC